AGCUGAGAACUGACGGAAGGAUUUAGGGAGACCAGAGGCUUAUGAGAUGUAUCAAGACUCUUUAAAGCCUCAUUUUGUCUUUCUUGAACAUGUGGAAAACAAACCAGGCUGCAGCACUCCCUCCCUGUCGGGAGAAGAAAGCGGCAGCACCAAAUCUGUUGUUGGCAUUUCCCUCCAGCAGCACUUCCAUCCCUCCCACCGAGGGCAGUUGGGGUGAGCCGUGGCCCUGCCUGGGGGGACUCAUCCCAGGGGACGUGGGUGUCCCACAGCUGGGCCUCUGCUUUGUUCCCUGCAGCCCCACCCACCCCCUCAGCCAAGAAUGACAUCUUUCACCGACUGCUAAAGCCUCCUGCUCCUGCUUUAAUGUUCAUUUUGGGAGUUUUCAACUGGAUCCUGGCUACCUCAUCCAGGAAUCUGCGUGGCAGCCCCGAGGUCCAGCCCCAUCUGGGUGACAGAGUUUGUUUCCUUUGGCAAUGUGAAUUUAACAACCAGGCUUCCAGCCCUGGGAAUCAUUUCCCUCAAAUAGCUGCAAAAUAAAUGAUGGGACAUUUUCCAGUGCAGUGCUGCAACCACCCAAAACACCACUGUAAAAUUCACAGAGGCCAGGCAGAGUGAGUGCAUUAAGCAAGGCUUAGGGGGAUUAUGGAAUUAAAUUGGGAGUCCCUUCCACCCUUCCCCCAGUCAAAGACAUUCGAAAAUAAAUAUUAAAAAAGGGUGUUAAAACAAUGGCUUUGGCUAAAACCUCUGCAAGCAAAGAACCUCGUGGAGGCUGUUGCUGGGCUGUGGACUGGUGUGUUCAGGCUGUGUUCCAGAGGGUUUCCAUCAGGGAUAAUCUCAGGAACACCCAACAGCCGUGGCUCUGCUUCCCAAAUUCCCUCUGCAGAGCAGAAGUGCAGCAGCCCCUGUACAGCACAGGACCUUGCCUCCUCUCCCCUGCAUCCUGCUGCUGCCUUUGGCAUUCCUUAUCCUCUGCCUGCAAUUCCCAGCUCUGUCCUUUUCCCGGCAGCAGGAGCAUCCUGCUCCUUUCAGGGAGAGUUUGUGCAAUGAAAGCUUUGCUUUAAUCUGGGCUGGAUUUAGCCAGAUGCUGCAAUCCUGGGAAGGCUUACACAGGGCUCAGGUCUGCCAUGGGAAUGUGGCCUUGAUUUGAUAAUCUGGGAAUGGUUUAUUUAAAAUUAAAAACAUAGAAAAACCUUUAAAACAGAUUUUUUUUAGCUCCUUUUGGCCUUGCAGUAGAAAAGGCACCCAGGCUCUUGGUCACAUAUAGGGUCUGGCACCCAUGAAAUAGGUUUUAGGCUAAUGAGGCACACUCUGCCUGCUUUAAUUAAAUGAAUUAGAGUAAAAAAAAAAAAAAGCAUUUCCCAUAAGAAGUCUUUAGCAUCAUAAUAACACAAUUUAAAUAUUUAAUAUAAAAAUACAUAAAAUUAAAUAUUAAUUUCCAAUACACUUACAGAGCCUAUUUGACCCAAUUGACCCCACAGAUAUUCCCUUACCAAGGAAUCCCUUUUCUUUACAUCUUUAUUAACAUAAUUACAGACCUUUACAUUUAAAAUCUUUAUUUUAGUGCAGUUCUCUUGGUAAUAAAAUAAAUCCAUGAGACACCUGUGCAGCAAGAAAUAGGAUUUACAGAGAUUUUUAAGCUUCUGGGGGCAAACAUGGUUUAUUCUUGCCGUGUCAGGGCCUGGGGUAGAUGAGCACAAUGACACCAGAGGCAGCUGAGUGUAUUAAUUAGCACUAAUUAAUAAAGCUACCGGGUUAUCUUUGACCUUCUCACAGCUCACUGCACAGGCUGAAGAGGAAGGAUAAGGAAUGAGCAGAGGAAAAUCCUUUUGGUCAGAAUUUUUCCAUGCCUGCCUCUCCUCUCUGACUCCCCCAGGUCCUGUGUCCCCCCUGUGCCUUAGCAGGGAGUGGUGACACCUCAUCCUGCAGUCUGCACUUCCAGGGAAUCCUGCAGCCCUGGGAAGGGGCUGGGGAUGCUGACUGCUUGUGACAAGCCUUGCCUGGGAGAAAACCAGCACGGCAGCGGUUGGAAACCUGAAUGAUGUCACUAUGGCAACAAAAUAACUCACCUUAAAAUAAAAUGUGCAUUGGAAGCAACCUCAUGUGCUCAAGGAAUACAGAGAGGAAGCUCCUGUUUUUUAAAUGUAUAUAUUUUUAUGUUUAUGCAUUUUUUAAUAUUUUUUCAGCUUUCUGAAUUCUUGCCCUGUUACCAGAUGCUGAUACAAAUAUGAGAAAUAUUUUAAUUUCUCUCACAAUGAAAUUAAAAAGAACAUGGCCAGACUUCCAGAAGAAGGAAAAAUGUGUUUGCUGGAGGGCAGGAAAACUCUGGAGCAGCUGAUAACUACAAGUCUUUCUGAUAGAUGUGAGAUCCAGGCUAUCAAUAUCUGCAGCUCACAGCAGAAACCAGAAAAAGUGGAUUAAAAGGGAUGAGGUUGUGGAGCAUGAAAAAAUACUCCACAACAACUGUGGAGGAGGGAAGAGGAGGUUCUGCUCUGGCCCUGGAGCUGGCACACCAUGGAACCAUGACUUGGGGAAGCACUUGUGGUCAGCACCUCCGUGCUGGUGCAUUUGUAUGAAGGAAGAAACCAAACCAAACCAACUUCCAGCCCUCUGGAAAGCUGAGGCUCAGCCUGAGGCUUAGGGACAGCCCUCCUCCAGCGGCCCCGGAUCCCAGACACAGCAAAGCUCCUUUGUGGUCCCACAGAGCAGCCCCCGGGCCGGGCUGAAACCCGAGAGCUGCCGCCAUCCAAACCUUCUGCACAGCUCCUUUUAUCUGCCUGGGGGGAAAACAAACAGCGCAGGAGCCGGAGCUUUGUGCCCGGGAUGUCGCACAUCUGGUCUGAGCUCCAAGAAACGCGCUUCCACCCCCUCCCCGAAUUGUUCAUGUUAAACAAACAAAACCCUGGCGAUUUUGUGAGAUUUUUUUGGCUCUGGGAUAACUUUGGAGCAGCUUUGACUGCGAAUUCCAGGCUUGUGCUGCACUUCAUCCCCAGUGGAAGCAGCACACCUCGCUGGCCGGGAGGGAGGCACUUCCAAAGUGCCCUGAACUCCCUCGCUGGGAAUGCUGCCGAGAGUGGGACCGCUCUGUUUAGGUUUCAAUCCAGCACUUUUCCCUCUGUUAUUUAUGCUUCGUCCCCUCCCCCCCCCCCCUUUUAAGAACGUCUGGAAUUGUUUAAGAUGUGUCCAAUUGUAUUAAGUUGCCUUUGAGAGCUUUGUGG
Long non-coding RNA from Oenanthe melanoleuca, 3215 nucleotides. RefSeq lists it as uncharacterized. Lineage: Eukaryota; Metazoa; Chordata; Aves; Passeriformes; Muscicapidae. The transcript is spliced from 3 exons. The record is from RefSeq and is a predicted model, not a curated record.